GCGUCCGUAGCUUAUUUUGGAAGAGCACUGUCCUCCGAAGACAGAGGUUUCAGGUUCAAAUCCUGUCGGACGCG
RNAcentral lists this transfer RNA (74 nucleotides) under Blochmannia endosymbiont of Polyrhachis (Hedomyrma) turneri. RNAcentral describes it as "tRNA-Arg (CCG) (tRNA-Arg-CCG-1-1)". It matches the Rfam family "tRNA". Rfam says of the family: Transfer RNA (tRNA) molecules are approximately 80 nucleotides in length. Their secondary structure includes four short double-helical elements and three loops (D, anti-codon, and T loops). Further hydrogen bonds mediate the characteristic L-shaped molecular structure. tRNAs have two regions of fundamental functional importance: the anti-codon, which is responsible for specific mRNA codon recognition, and the 3' end, to which the tRNAs corresponding amino acid is attached (by aminoacyl-tRNA synthetases). tRNAs cope with the degeneracy of the genetic code in two manners: having more than one tRNA (with a specific anti-codon) for a particular amino acid; and 'wobble' base-pairing, i.e. permitting non-standard base-pairing at the 3rd anti-codon position. The record is from Rfam by way of RNAcentral. Lineage: Bacteria; Pseudomonadati; Pseudomonadota; Gammaproteobacteria; Enterobacterales; Enterobacteriaceae.